CUUGUCUAACUUUUGCUAAGCUUGCUUUGGAAGCAGAUGUUUGAACCUUUUGCUAAAUUACUUGAAUUUGGAAGUCUGAAUAAAACAUUACUUACAUUUUAAGGUUUUAAUAAAAUUAGUUUUUUAUUAAAAAGACCUAAUUAAACUUAUAAGAAUUUCCCAAAUUGGAACUUUAUAUGUAAUAAAUGAUCUAGCAAGCAGUCAGAUUCAUAUAUAUUUAAUAAAUACAUAGCUUAACUGUGCCCCUUUACUUUUUAAACCAGCAUUUUUAAAUUUAGAAAAGUAGUGAUAUGUAUUUUUCAGACAUAGGAACAUUUUUAGAGAAACGUGUUUUGAAUUAGAGAGAGAAAAAUUCCAAAUUGAUUAACUUUCUACUCUUUUACCUCUCCCUUUAUGAAGAAAGAUUUUUUUGUGGUUCACAUUUGAAUUCUCUCAUUUCGCUGGAUCUUUAAUACAGCCAAAAAUUGUAACAUACUAAGACAUUUGUUUUCUUUUCCUCUUCAAGAUAAAUACUUUAAAGACAUCAAAACAAAAAGUCAUCUGUCUGGUUCUCCCAAAUCUUGUACAAUCCCACAAUACUCUCUAGCCCUCACAGCAUGCUGGUAGGUGAAAUUUGUCUUGACGUUUUUUACUUUGCUAGUUUUAACUCAGCUCCGUGAAGCAUUGAUCUUUUCUUUUCGCUGUCUUAUUGCUUACUAUGGGUAUCCAAAAAUGCGAAAAGAGGGUUGAAAACCCCCGAAAGUGUCACAGUAGAAAACGUGCAAGAGCAUUGGGGAAACAGUCUUCCUUGCUCACGUGUUUGCAUGUGUGUUGGUUUGCUUUUCUUUAAUUCAUAGAGUCUGACUGCAGCGGUCAUGUCUGCCCAUCUCUCUUGAGGCUUAUUUCUCUGAUGUUAAACAUUUCAGCUCCUUGAAUGUGUGGGGCAUCCUCUAUUUGUAGGUAGAAUCCUGGAACUGGGGAAGUAAUUUGAGGCUAUCUGGUCAUCUUCCCACCUAAUAAGACAAGUGCUUUUAUCAUGCUGAUUCUGCAUGGAGGACAUGGUCUCAUUUUCCCAGGAACUAAAGGCUGCUAUACUGCUUUUGAGUGGCGAACUCGUUUCAUGUUGUCACAGCUUGAUGUCUCUUACAACACAGGGUUGCCUCUCUAGUUGUCCAGGGCCACCCAUCCGGAGCUCAGGCCAUUUAACUCCCUUAACAAGUGGUUCACAUCUCAAGAGCCAGGGUGUGUUGGCUUAGGCUGGAAGGGAAGGUCACCACCCAGCACUCGUUCCCUGUCCAGGCUACAAACUGCUCAUCUGUCUCAUCUAGAGACCAAGCACCCACAUUUGUGGGCUCAUGGAGAGCAGUGUCUCUGGAGACGGGAAGUCCGGUGUCAUAGAUCAGGAGGCAUCAUCUCCAGAGCUAUACAGUGAAGGCAUUUUAGUACAAAGAACAGGGCCACAGGAGGCUGCUUCCUUUAAUAAUAAGGCCAGCAGGAUGGCAUGUUAAACAUAUCCUGUUACUUUAGGGUUCCAAGCAUAUCUGCGUUAGGCACUUGCUGCCUGGGAUUCCAGGAUACAUUUGUCAGGAAAAAGUAAUCAAAAUUCACUCUUUGAGCAGUGAAAAGCUUAUGAUGCUCUAUGGGUUAAGAAUUGAGAAUAUGCUUAGAUUUGAGUUCUAACCUCUGAUUCCUAAUCGUUCAUACAGGAAAGAGACUUGGAAUUCUGUCAUCAUGAUGAAGAGGUGGCAAAAUAGAAACUUGAAGUUGUGUCUGAUUCGUUGGAUAGGUGUUUGUAUAAAGCUCAUCUUUGAUAUGAAGUAGGCUGAGUGGC
This 1810-nucleotide long non-coding RNA is filed under the name Homo sapiens (human). Its description in RNAcentral is "long non-coding RNA NONHSAT206592.1". The record is from RNAcentral. Lineage: Eukaryota; Metazoa; Chordata; Mammalia; Primates; Hominidae.